UAUGGCCACAUCACAUGGAAACACAGGUUCCUGUACAGUCACUGAAGUUAAGCAGUGUUGAGCCUGGGCAGUACCUUGAUGGAUGACCACUUGAGAACACCGGAUGCUGUAAG
Acanthosepion pharaonis is the source of this 113-nucleotide non-coding RNA. Lineage: Eukaryota; Metazoa; Mollusca; Cephalopoda; Sepiida; Sepiidae. The record is from the annotation of a GenBank genome assembly.